RNAcentral lists this ribosomal RNA (1530 nucleotides) under Escherichia coli STEC_O31. RNAcentral's name for it is "16S ribosomal RNA". Lineage: Bacteria; Pseudomonadati; Pseudomonadota; Gammaproteobacteria; Enterobacterales; Enterobacteriaceae. The record is from RNAcentral.
AGGUGAUCCAACCGCAGGUUCCCCUACGGUUACCUUGUUACGACUUCACCCCAGUCAUGAAUCACAAAGUGGUAAGCGCCCUCCCGAAGGUUAAGCUACCUACUUCUUUUGCAACCCACUCCCAUGGUGUGACGGGCGGUGUGUACAAGGCCCGGGAACGUAUUCACCGUGGCAUUCUGAUCCACGAUUACUAGCGAUUCCGACUUCAUGGAGUCGAGUUGCAGACUCCAAUCCGGACUACGACGCACUUUAUGAGGUCCGCUUGCUCUCGCGAGGUCGCUUCUCUUUGUAUGCGCCAUUGUAGCACGUGUGUAGCCCUGGUCGUAAGGGCCAUGAUGACUUGACGUCAUCCCCACCUUCCUCCAGUUUAUCACUGGCAGUCUCCUUUGAGUUCCCGGCCGGACCGCUGGCAACAAAGGAUAAGGGUUGCGCUCGUUGCGGGACUUAACCCAACAUUUCACAACACGAGCUGACGACAGCCAUGCAGCACCUGUCUCACGGUUCCCGAAGGCACAUUCUCAUCUCUGAAAACUUCCGUGGAUGUCAAGACCAGGUAAGGUUCUUCGCGUUGCAUCGAAUUAAACCACAUGCUCCACCGCUUGUGCGGGCCCCCGUCAAUUCAUUUGAGUUUUAACCUUGCGGCCGUACUCCCCAGGCGGUCGACUUAACGCGUUAGCUCCGGAAGCCACGCCUCAAGGGCACAACCUCCAAGUCGACAUCGUUUACGGCGUGGACUACCAGGGUAUCUAAUCCUGUUUGCUCCCCACGCUUUCGCACCUGAGCGUCAGUCUUCGUCCAGGGGGCCGCCUUCGCCACCGGUAUUCCUCCAGAUCUCUACGCAUUUCACCGCUACACCUGGAAUUCUACCCCCCUCUACGAGACUCAAGCUUGCCAGUAUCAGAUGCAGUUCCCAGGUUGAGCCCGGGGAUUUCACAUCUGACUUAACAAACCGCCUGCGUGCGCUUUACGCCCAGUAAUUCCGAUUAACGCUUGCACCCUCCGUAUUACCGCGGCUGCUGGCACGGAGUUAGCCGGUGCUUCUUCUGCGGGUAACGUCAAUGAGCAAAGGUAUUAACUUUACUCCCUUCCUCCCCGCUGAAAGUACUUUACAACCCGAAGGCCUUCUUCAUACACGCGGCAUGGCUGCAUCAGGCUUGCGCCCAUUGUGCAAUAUUCCCCACUGCUGCCUCCCGUAGGAGUCUGGACCGUGUCUCAGUUCCAGUGUGGCUGGUCAUCCUCUCAGACCAGCUAGGGAUCGUCGCCUUGGUGAGCCGUUACCCCACCAACAAGCUAAUCCCAUCUGGGCACAUCCGAUGGCAAGAGGCCCGAAGGUCCCCCUCUUUGGUCUUGCGACGUUAUGCGGUAUUAGCUACCGUUUCCAGUAGUUAUCCCCCUCCAUCAGGCAGUUUCCCAGACAUUACUCACCCGUCCGCCACUCGUCAGCAAAGAAGCAAGCUUCUUCCUGUUACCGUUCGACUUGCAUGUGUUAGGCCUGCCGCCAGCGUUCAAUCUGAGCCAUGAUCAAACUCU